GUGAGGCUUUCGGACUGGCCCAGAGAGGUGGGCAACUACCACUCAGGGCCGGAAAGUUAUCCAAACUCGGUCAUUUAGAGGAAGUAAAAGUCGUAACAAGGUCUCCGUUGGUGAACCAGCGGAGGGAUCAUUA
Molecule: ribosomal RNA, 133 nt
Filed under: Colletotrichum tofieldiae
Lineage: Eukaryota; Fungi; Ascomycota; Sordariomycetes; Glomerellales; Glomerellaceae
Description: partial 18S ribosomal RNA
Rfam family: Eukaryotic small subunit ribosomal RNA
Source: RNAcentral